AGCAGCCACUCAUUAAAAGAGUGCGUAAUAGCUCACUGGUCGAGUGACUCUGCGCCGAAAAUUUAACGGGGCUAAACUAUACACCGAAGCUUGGGAUACAUCUAAUGUAUGGUAGGAGAGCGUUCUGUAUGGGGUGAAGUCGUAGCGAAAGCGGCGGUGGACUGUACAGAAGUGAGAAUGCCGGAAUAAGUAGCGAGAAUUAAGUGAGAAUCUUAAUGGCCGAAAGUCUAAGGUUUUUGGAGGAAGGUUCGUCCGCUCCAAGUAAGUCGGGAGCUAAGGUCAGGCCGAAAGGCGUAGCCGAUGCACAUACGGUUGAUAUUCCGUAACCAUCUGUAAUUUAAGCAAAGGGACACUUCAAAAGGGUGUGACCCGGGCGUUGGUUGACCCGGGCGUAAGGGACCGAAAUUAGAGUAGGGAAGCACACUUGGCUGAAGGCGAGAAAAGCUUUGCGUAUAGAAGCAGAUGCCCGUACCGCAAACCGACACAGGUGGACAGGAAGAGAAUUCUAAGGCCAGCGGGAGAAGGGUAGUUAAGGAACUCGGCAAAUUGACUCCGUAACUUCGGAAUAAGGAGUGCUCGAAAGAGCCGCAGAGAAUAGGCCCAGGCGACUGUUUAGCAAAAACACAGGUCUCUGCCAAAUCGAAAGAUGAAGUAUAGGGGCUGACACCUGCCCGGUGCCGGAAGGUUAAGAGGAGGAGUGAGAGCUCCGAAUUGAAGCCCCGGUAAACGGCGGCCGUAACUAUAACGGUCCUAAGGUAGCGAAAUUCCUUGUCGGGUAAGUUCCGACCCGCACGAAUGGUGUAACGAUCUGGGCACUGUCUCAACUACCCACCCGGCGAAAUUGUAGUACCGGUGAAGAUGCCGGUUACCUGCGGCAAGACGGAAAGACCCCAUGGAGCUUUACUGUAGCCUGAUAUUGGGUUUCGGAAAUCUAUGUACAGGAUAGGCGGGAGACUGGGAAACAUGAGCGUCAGCUUGUGUGGAGUCGAUGUUGGGAUACCGCCCUUAGGUUUCUGGAAUUCUAACCUGCGGCCGUGAAUCCGGUCGGGGGACAUUGUCAGGUGGGCAGUUUGACUGGGGCGGUCGCCUCCGAAAAGGUAACGGAGGCGCUCAAAGGUUAGCUCAGCACGGACGGAAACCGUGCCUCUGAGUGUAAACGCAAAAGCUAGCCUAACUGCGAGGGUGACGGCCCGAGCAGUAACGAAAGUUGGAGUUAGUGAUCCGGCGGUAUGUGAAUGGAAAUGCCGUCGCUCAACGGAUAAAAGCUACCCUGGGGAUAACAGGCUGAUCUCCCCCAAGAGUCCACAUCGACGGGGAGGUUUGGCACCUCGAUGUCGGCUCAUCACAUCCUGGGGCUGUAUUCGGUCCCAAGGGUUCGGCUGUUCGCCGAUUAAAGUGGUACGCGAGCUGGGUUCAGAACGUCGCGAGACAGUUCGGUCCCUAUCUGUCGUGGGCGCAGGAUAUUUGAGGAGCUCUGUCCUUAGUACGAGAGGACCGGGAUGGACGUACCUCUGGUGCACCAGUUGUCAUGCCAAUGGCACGGCUGGGCAGCUAUGUACGGAACGGAUAAACGCUGAAAGCAUCUAAGCGUGAAGCCGACUCCAAGAUUAGAUAUCCCAUCGUAUAACGAGUAAGACCCCUUGAAGACUACGAGGUUGAUAGGCUGCGUGUGUAAGUGCCGUGAGGCAUUCAGCUUGGCAGUACUAAUAGGUCGAGGGCUUGACCAC
This 1727-nucleotide ribosomal RNA is filed under the name human gut metagenome. RNAcentral describes it as "bacterial LSU rRNA". It matches the Rfam family "Bacterial large subunit ribosomal RNA", at positions 1111 to 2925 of the family's 2925-position model. The record is from RNAcentral.